Molecule: transfer RNA, 85 nt
Filed under: Phycisphaerales bacterium
Lineage: Bacteria; Pseudomonadati; Planctomycetota; Phycisphaerae; Phycisphaerales
Description: tRNA-Leu
Rfam family: tRNA
About the family: Transfer RNA (tRNA) molecules are approximately 80 nucleotides in length.
Source: RNAcentral
GCGGCCGUGGCGGAAUUGGCAGACGCGCAAGGUUCAGGUCCUUGUUCCCGAUAAGGGAGUGAAGGUUCAAAUCCUUUCGGCCGCA